Molecule: ribosomal RNA, 395 nt
Filed under: uncultured bacterium
Lineage: Bacteria
Description: bacterial SSU rRNA
Rfam family: Bacterial small subunit ribosomal RNA
Source: RNAcentral
CCUACCUAUAAGACUGGGAUAACUUCGGGAAACCGGAGCUAAUACCGGAUAAUAUUUCGAACUGCAUGGUUCGAUAGUGAAAGAUGGCUUUGCUAUCACUUAUAGAUGGACCUGCGCCGUAUUAGCUAGUUGGUAAGGUAACGGCUUACCAAGGCAACGAUACGUAGCCGACCUGAGAGGGUGAUCGGCCACACUGGAACUGAGACACGGUCCAGACUCCUACGGGAGGCAGCAGUAGGGAAUCUUCCGCAAUGGGCGAAAGCCUGACGGAGCAACGCCGCGUGAGUGAUGAAGGUCUUCGGAUCGUAAAACUCUGUUAUUAGGGAAGAACAAACGUGUAAGUAACUGUGCACGUCUUGACGGUACCUAAUCAGAAAGCCACGGCUAACUACGUG